AGUUAGGAGUGUAAGACAAGAGAGCCCCUACUUCAUGGGGCAGAUCAAGAGCUGAGACCAAAGAUGGUCUAUGUUGCUGACCUUGUCCUGUCCUCCUACUGUCUUAAACUAUGAUCCCUGCUGUGGUCACUGAAGCCUUUCCCUGAGCCACCAUGCAGUGCUUCAGUUUCAUUAAGACCAUGAUGAUCCUCUUCAAUUUGCUCAUCUUUCUGUGUGGUGCGGCCCUGUUGGCAGUGGGCAUCUGGGUGUCAAUCGAUGGGGCAUCCUUUCUGAAGAUCUUCGGGCCGCUGUCGUCCAGUGCCAUGCAGUUUGUCAACGUGGGCUACUUCCUCAUCGCAGCCGGCGUUGUGGUCUUUGCUCUUGGUUUCCUGGGCUGCUAUGGUGCUAAAACUGAGAGCAAGUGUGCCCUCAUGACGUUCUUCUUCAUCCUCCUCCUCAUCUUCAUUGCUGAGGUUGCAGCUGCUGUGGUCGCCUUGGUGUACACCACAAUGGCUGAGCACUUCCUGACAUUGUUGGUAGUGCCUGCCAUCAAGAAAGACUACGGUUCCCAGGAAGACUUCACUCAAGUGUGGAACACUACCAUGAAAGGGGUAAGGUUGGCUGGGGGAGGUUUUAGGGUGGAGAGAAAGAAGCAAGGCCCCACCUCCACCCUCAUCUUGUCUCCAGCUCAAGUGCUGUGGCUUCACCAACUAUACGGAUUUUGAGGACUCACCCUACCUCAAAGAGAACCAUGCCUUUCCCCCAUUCUGCUGCAAUGACAACAUCACCAACACAGCCAAUGACACCUGCACCAAGCAAAAGGCUGAGGACCAAAAAGUAGAGGGUUGCUUCAAUCAGCUUUUGUAUGACAUCCGAACUAAUGCAGUCACCGUGGGUGGUGUGGCAGCUGGAAUUGGGGGCCUUGAGCUGGCUGCCAUGAUUGUGUCCAUGUAUCUGUACUGCAAUCUACAAUAAGUCCACUUCUGCCUCUGCCACUACUGCUGCCACAUGGGA
This 993-nucleotide small RNA is filed under the name Pongo abelii (Sumatran orangutan). RNAcentral's name for it is "processed transcript". Lineage: Eukaryota; Metazoa; Chordata; Mammalia; Primates; Hominidae. The record is from RNAcentral.